Molecule: ribosomal RNA, 486 nt
Filed under: Asaia sp.
Lineage: Bacteria; Pseudomonadati; Pseudomonadota; Alphaproteobacteria; Acetobacterales; Acetobacteraceae
Description: bacterial SSU rRNA
Rfam family: Bacterial small subunit ribosomal RNA
Source: RNAcentral
CUUCGGGGUGAGUGGCGGACGGGUGAGUAUCGCGUAGGGAUCUAUCCACGGGUGGGGGAUAACAUCGGGAAACUGGUGCUAAUACCGCAUGAUACCUGAGGGUCAAAGGCGCAAGUCGCCUGUGGAGGAGCCUGCGUUCGAUUAGCUUGUUGGUGGGGUAAAGGCCUACCAAGGCGAUGAUCGAUAGCUGGUCUGAGAGGAUGAUCAGCCACACUGGGACUGAGACACGGCCCAGACUCCUACGGGAGGCAGCAGUGGGGAAUAUUGGACAAUGGGCGAAAGCCUGAUCCAGCAAUGCCGCGUGUGUGAAGAAGGUCUUCGGAUUGUAAAGCACUUUCGACGGGGACGAUGAUGACGGUACCCGUAGAAGAAGCCCCGGCUAACUUCGUGCCAGCAGCCGCGGUAAUACGAAGGGGGCUAGCGUUGCUCGGAAUGACUGGGCGUAAAGGGCGCGUAGGCGGUUUACACAGUCAGAUGUGAAAUUCC